CAGUCGCCGCGGGAAUACGAAGGGGGCUAGCGUUGCUCGGAAUCACUGGGCGUAAAGGGUGCGUAGGCGGGUUUCUAAGUCAGGGGUGAAAUCCUGGAGCUCAACUCCAGAACUGCCCUUGAUACUGGAAGUCUUGAGUACGGGAGAGGUGAGUGGAACUGCGAGUGUAGAGGUGAAAUUCGUAGAUAUUCGCAAGAACACCAGUGGCGAAGGCGGCUCACUGGCCCAUAACUGACGCUGAGGCACGAAAGCGUGGGGAGCAAACAGGAUUAGAUACCCCUGUAGUCCCUGUCUCUUAUAC
This 301-nucleotide ribosomal RNA is filed under the name uncultured bacterium. Its description in RNAcentral is "partial 16S ribosomal RNA". It matches the Rfam family "Bacterial small subunit ribosomal RNA", at positions 509 to 807 of the family's 1533-position model. The record is from RNAcentral.